UACGUAGGGGGCGAGCGUUACCCGGAUUUAUUGGGUGUAAAGCGUGUGUAGGCGGUUUCUUAAGUCCAAGGUUAAAGCCCGGAGCUUAACUCCGGUUCGCCUUGGAAACUGAGAUACUAGAGUAUGGCAGAGGCAAAUGGAAUUUCUAGUGUAGCGGUGAAAUGCGUAGAUAUUAGAAGGAACACCAGUGGCGAAGGCGAUUUGCUAGGCCAUUACUGACGCUGAGACACGAAAGCGUGGGGAGCAAAUA
This 250-nucleotide ribosomal RNA is filed under the name uncultured prokaryote. RNAcentral describes it as "partial 16S ribosomal RNA". It matches the Rfam family "Bacterial small subunit ribosomal RNA", at positions 524 to 774 of the family's 1533-position model. The record is from RNAcentral.